RNAcentral lists this ribosomal RNA (443 nucleotides) under uncultured bacterium. RNAcentral describes it as "partial 16S ribosomal RNA". It matches the Rfam family "Bacterial small subunit ribosomal RNA", at positions 338 to 795 of the family's 1533-position model. The record is from RNAcentral.
UCUACGGGUGGCAGCAGUGGGGAAUAUUGGGCAAUGGGCGCAAGCCUGACCCAGCAACGCCGCGUGAAGGAAGAAGGCUUUCGGGUUGUAAACUUCUUUUCUCAGGGACGAAGCAAGUGACGGUACCUGAGGAAUAAGCCACGGCUAACUACGUGCCAGCAGCCGCGGUAAUACGUAGGUGGCAAGCGUUAUCCGGAUUUACUGGGUGUAAAGGGCGUGUAGGCGGGGACGCAAGUCAGAUGUGAAAACCACGGGCUCAACCUGUGGCCUGCAUUUGAAACUGUGUUUCUUGAGUACUGGAGAGGCAGACGGAAUUCCUAGUGUAGCGGUGAAAUGCGUAGAUAUAAGGAAGAACACCAGUGGCGAAGGCGGAUUACUGGACGAUAACUGACGGUGAGGCGCGAAAGCGUGGGGAGCAAACAGGAUUAGAUACCCCAGUAGUC